AGGCAGGCUACCCAGGUUUUAUGGUGGGUAUAUGUUACCUGACAACGGAAAGUCUCUUAUUUUAGUCUACAACUCCUUUGGCUCCCAUCUUUGUCGUUUCUAAAACCGUUUUCAGUGCCAAGGAAAAAUAACAUAAAAGCCUAGGUAAUCGAGAUCCCUACUGCAGCAGCCUGGGAAGGGCCUCUUAGGGCAUCUGAGCAGGGCGUUGGCCACGUUCCUUUUUUCCUCUCCAGGUAUCUAAAUGAGAGCCGUCUGCCGGCGUCUGAGCACCGGCAGCAGCCGCCGCAGCAGCAGUGGUGGCGGCCCCAGCUGCUGUAAUACUGGUGACGGGCCCCCUGCACAAUAUAUCAGGUGAAAUGAAAGCAGAAGCAAGAGAGGGAGUAUCAGAGCUGUCUGAAGCAUCAUUCCAAAUGGACUGCAUGAAGAUGAAAUGCGAUGGUAAUGUGAUGUGCUUAGCACACUGCCUGGCAUUCAUUCAAUGAGACCUGAUGAAGCGCCUGGGAGCCAGGGGACUCAGGAUACAGUUGCAAACAAAGUACAAUACCUGGUCUCACCACAGAAGGCAGCUCAUGUACAUAAAGACAAACUUCAGAGGCAGCCGAUGGAUUCUGCACUUCAGUCCUGCCUCUGCCACCUAAGAGAUGUGAGACACUGGGCAAAUCUCUUAGCUUCUCUGAGACUCAAUUUCCUUUUGUAUAAAAUGGUGAUAAUAAAAUCUAAAUAAAAUAUGUAGUAAAAUGGUCACACUGCCAUAUGUUGUGCUCAUGCCACAAGUACAAGUUCCAUUGCUCUUUCUCCUAGUCAUGGACUGUGGGCACCUCUACAAGGACACACUCUUUGUGCCACAGCAGACAGCAGGUUAGUGGUUCAUUAAAUUAUUGUUUUAAAGUACGAUUGUUAGAGAUCAAGAAACAGACUCAGAUGUUAAGGCUUUGGCAAAGUUUCACAGCUACUAAAUGGCAACCUAGAGCUGGGAACCCAGGUAGGUAUUUUUUUCAUGCCAAAGUUCAUUUCUCCCCAUUAUGCUUUGCCAUCGCUCUGAAAAAAAUUCUUAUCUUCUGUUAUCUGAAAGAUAAACCUAUCCAAAAUACUAGAAUUCCAAGAGCUAAAUAAUUAUGGUUCAUUAUAAAUGGACAAACUUGAACUUCAUGCAUUCCUGGGGACUCUGUCUCUUUUAAACAAAAUUCUAUGUUUAUAUGUGUUAUAAAUCAAUUAUAUCUCCGUUUUUUGGCUGUCACCUCUGUCAGUUUGGACAUUGGUAGAAACCUUUAAAUAAGCAGGUUACGCUGGUCAGUGAAGAGAGAGUUUUUCCAAGUAGAGUAGAAUGAACAGAGGGUUAAAGAGGGAAGUGUCAAAAAGCAAGGGCUGCUUAUAUGAGGAAAUGUUACCAUUUUAAUAUUCACUGAAUUCAGGGAGGGAAAACGUAUUUGCCUACACCUGAAUCAGACAAAGGAAUAGGAGUUAAUUAUUGAUUUUCAUAUUUUUUUCCACUCUAAAUGCUUGUUGAUUUAAGAGACACCAUCUUUUUAAAAACAAAACUUGGUUUGUUUUUUUUUUUGGAGGAGAAACUACUAUGCCACCAUAAAUGUAUGUGCUAAUUAUGUGCUUUCAAUCUUCUGAAGAGCUAGAAUAUGAAAAACCUGUGUGUCUCAGAAAUAAGGAAAUAAGGAAAGUACAUAAUGAUACUCAGAAAUGUACAUGUAAAGGAGGAUUAAGAUACAUGGGACUAAUGAGGAAAGGAAACAGAAACAGGAUGAAUAUAAUGGAAUAUGAUGACAUGGAGCAUGGUGAUGACUUCAGUUAUGUAUAUAUAAGCAGCUGAUAGAAGUUUGAUUUUUUUCUUACCAUGAAAAACUUACGCUGCAAACACAAAAAGAAAGGCUGUAACCUGUAUAACUCCGAUCUGCCUUGCUUCCUGCUUGGUUGCAUUCAAAGAAACUUCACUCUGGCAUCCAAAAAUAAAUAAAAAGUAGAUUACAUCAUUAUUAGUAUCUCUCAAGAAAAUGCCAAAGGGAAAUUAUACUCAAAAUAUGCAGCAAUACUCUAGAUCGACCCGCAUUUUCUCUCUGACUCUUAUCUGUUCCAUUUCAAGACCUCCAAAUUCUUCCUCUACCUCAGCCUAAAUCCUGUUUCUUUUGCCUUUCUUCUAAUUCCUAUUUGCUUUUGCUUAUUAUUGUGAAACUACCAUGCAUCCGAAGAAUGUAUACAACGUACACGUAUGACGAAUAAAGUUUGAAAAAUAAACACCUCUGUACCUCCACUCGGGCUUAGAGGCUUCUCCAAGA
Lagenorhynchus albirostris (white-beaked dolphin) is the source of this 2285-nucleotide long non-coding RNA. RefSeq lists it as uncharacterized. The record is from RefSeq and is a predicted model, not a curated record. NCBI's taxonomy places the organism in Eukaryota, Metazoa, Chordata, Mammalia, Artiodactyla, Delphinidae. The transcript has 3 exons.